This 465-nucleotide ribosomal RNA is filed under the name Vreelandella stevensii. RNAcentral's name for it is "partial 16S ribosomal RNA". It matches the Rfam family "Bacterial small subunit ribosomal RNA", at positions 338 to 795 of the family's 1533-position model. The record is from RNAcentral. Lineage: Bacteria; Pseudomonadati; Pseudomonadota; Gammaproteobacteria; Oceanospirillales; Halomonadaceae.
CCUACGGGUGGCAGCAGUGGGGAAUAUUGGACAAUGGGGGGAACCCUGAUCCAGCCAUGCCGCGUGUGUGAAGAAGGCCCUCGGGUUGUAAAGCACUUUCAGUGAGGAAGAACGCCUGGUGGUUAAUACCCAUCAGGAAAGACAUCACUCACAGAAGAAGCACCGGCUAACUCCGUGCCAGCAGCCGCGGUAAUACGGAGGGUGCGAGCGUUAAUCGGAAUUACUGGGCGUAAAGCGCGCGUAGGUGGCUUGAUAAGCCGGUUGUGAAAGCCCCGGGCUCAACCUGGGAACGGCAUCCGGAACUGUCAAGCUAGAGUGCAGGAGAGGAAGGUAGAAUUCCCGGUGUAGCGGUGAAAUGCGUAGAGAUCGGGAGGAAUACCAGUGGCGAAGGCGGCCUUCUGGACUGACACUGACACUGAGGUGCGAAAGCGUGGGUAGCAAACAGGAUUAGAUACCCCAGUAGGC